RNAcentral lists this long non-coding RNA (665 nucleotides) under Ovis aries (sheep). Its description in RNAcentral is "lncRNA (ENSOARG00000025663.1)". The record is from RNAcentral. Lineage: Eukaryota; Metazoa; Chordata; Mammalia; Artiodactyla; Bovidae.
UUAAAAAGAGCUUUAGCUAUUCACCUUCCAUUGGCAGCUUCUCAGUCAGGGACAGCCAGGCUUUAUGCAGUCACCAUAAUGAGAAAGACUUUUGUUUGAUAUAACAGCCUGGCUGGAGACUGAAGAGACGGGAUAGAGGCAGGGGAGUUCAAUCCUCUUCACUUUUGUGUGAAGGACAAUUGAAGCACUUUUUUUAGGAUGAAAAAGGUAAUUUCCUAUAUAGUAAAAUUCAGGAAAAGAAUUUGUUUCUGAGAGUCUACAGAGCAUGUAAGUGAAAAGCAGUAUAUAAAAUACUGAAGAUGCUAGAAUGAAUGUUAUGCAAACAAAAACUCUAAAGUCAAGCUUCAAAAGUCAAAAGAAAACUCUCUGAAGAAUUUCAAAUUAACCUCAUGCCUUUUGGGGAGUUUAAGCAUUGUUGGAGAAAUUGUCUACAAAAGUUGAAGGAACCUAGAAACAGAAACUUUAAAUCUCCCCCUUCUCUUGGGACACAAAGGAGAACCUGCCAUUAUUUCAACAUUGUAGUCCCUGAAGCAAACUAUGCAAAUGGCGAAAGAGAAAACCAAGCAUGUUUCCUCUUGAAAAGAAAAAAGAAAUAAGUAAGCUAUAUCUAAUUUAGUAAAAUAAAAGACAAAAGUGAUUAUUUGAAUAUAUUAAAAAAGUGGCUU